GGACGGGUUCCUCAAAACUGUUGUGUUUCCACACCACUUAGCAUGAACAUAUGCUGACCUUUAUGCUCUGCAUCUAUCGAUUGAGUAAGUUACAUUCAUAUAUGUUACCCGUUUACAUGUCAUGGCAAAACAUUCAACCUCAGUGACACAAGGGUACAUGUGAUGAUACAUUGUCAACAUUGCAUGUCUGUCAGACUCUAGAGUGUCUGGUGGAAUGGAGAAAGAGGCACCACUGUACAGUUUUCUAGUGAAAGUCGUUCACUGCUUUACAUAAAGCAUAUCAGCUGUUUCAAAGUCCCAACCAAUUGUCUUCCUAAAAUACUGGUCCUUCCGUAUAACAAUAACCUCGUAUGUGAUUGGAGGACCCUCAGACUCCUCGUCCAAUCACGUGUGAGGUCAUAGGCAUGACUCAGACAGCAGUACUUGCAAGACGAGCAUACAAACAGACAUAUUCAGAAGAACUGUAUCUCCAGUUCCUUUGUUUGGUUUUUGCUGCUUCGUAAAUAAUGGCGGGACGACGUCUCGCCUUCAACUCGCCUUCAACUCCUCUCCGCGGUCACCAACUUUCGGCCAGUCCGCAGACAGACGAGAAGAAGCUGCUGAAAGCUCUCAGUGGAUCGUCUCGUCAACUCCAACAACAAACUGCUGAUAUCAGCGAGCGGUUCGCUCCACUGGAGCGUUCGGGACUCUGCGGGUUUCUGUCCAUGGAGGAGAGGAACCGACUCAAAGAAGAGGAGACGGGAGCACGAUCCCAAGAUAGGGGUAAGAAUACGUUCGAUGACUGCAAGCUAAGCUAACAGCUAAGAGUAGCCUAGUAGCCUUACAAGUGAGCAGAAACAGCUUUAUUAAAGUGUGUUUUCUUUGCCGUGUCGUUUACAGGAAGCGAUGCGCCGUCUUCACAACGCCGAGACGAAUUACAGGCGCUACGAACCGGAGCAAGGACUAAUCUCGCCUCAUAAUGAGGCGGUGACCUCGUAUUUGCUCCGGGAAAAGUCCAGAUUUAGACGACGUCAUUGUGUCCGCCUGUAAGACGGAUUGUGAGACGAUAUGCAGGAGCUUCAGGUUCAGCCGGAACACUCAUUGCGGGCGGAAGCUGCGAAGGAUUCAGCGCGGAGUCGAGCGAGAAGAAAGAGGCUGCUGGAAUCGAGACAAAGUGUGCUGGCUGAUGACGAGGUGGAACUCUGGAAAUCCACCACCGUGGAGCUCACGUCGGAUGGAGGGGACGGCGUUGUUGGCGGGGUCUCGGGUGGAUCGUACGGUCGCCACACACACACGAGCCGCAUGCACAACAGACCUGCAUUGGAAAACUCGCCGCCAGUGACGGUCUACGACCCCGAGGAGGCAAAAGUUUACUGAGCUGUAGUUUUUAAACCGCCGUUACCCAAGUGUGGGCAGAUCCUCACUUUGUAUGUAGUUGUUGUUUGUGUGUUGUUAAUAAAGCUCUUUCUUUGCAUAAACAUGUGGCAAAUGUUCAUUUUCUCUAUAAAUUCAUUGAUGUCCUGGUUGGUAUCCUAAUAAUAGUGUAGUAGCCUACAUAGGAUGACCAUGAAAUGAAUAUACAG
Long non-coding RNA from Gasterosteus aculeatus aculeatus (three-spined stickleback), 1562 nucleotides. NCBI's taxonomy places the organism in Eukaryota, Metazoa, Chordata, Actinopteri, Perciformes, Gasterosteidae. The record is from Ensembl.